Molecule: ribosomal RNA, 274 nt
Filed under: uncultured bacterium
Lineage: Bacteria
Description: partial 16S ribosomal RNA
Rfam family: Bacterial small subunit ribosomal RNA
Source: RNAcentral
AUACGGAGGGUCCAAGCGUUAUCCGGAAUCAUUGGGUUUAAAGGGUCCGCAGGCGGUCAAUUAAGUCAGAGGUGAAAGACCAUCGCUCAACGAUGGAACUGCCUUUGAUACUGGUUGACUUGAGUUAUACGGAAGUAGAUAGAAUAAGUAGUGUAGCGGUGAAAUGCAUAGAUAUUACUUAGAAUACCGAUUGCGAAGGCAGUCUACUACGUAUAUACUGACGCUGAGGGACGAAAGCGUGGGGAGCGAACAGGAUUAGAAACCCUAGUAGUCC